AACGAACGCUGGCGGCAUGCCUAACACAUGCAAGUCGAACGAGACCUUCGGGUCUAGUGGCGCACGGGUGCGUAAAGCGUGGGAUCCUGCCCUUAGGUUCGGAAUAACUCCCCGAAAGGGGUGCUAAUACCGGAUAAUGUCUUCGGACCAAAGAUUUAUCGCCUUUGGAUGGGCCCGCGUUGGAUUAGCUAGUUGGUAGGGUAAAAGCCUACCAAGGCGACGAUCCAUAGCUGGUCUGAGAGGAUGAUCAGCCACACUGGGACUGAGACACGGCCCAGACUCCUACGGGAGGCAGCAGUGGGGAAUAUUGGACAAUGGGCGAAAGCCUGAUCCAGCAAUGCCGCGUGAGUGAUGAAGGCCUUAGGGUUGUAAAGCUCUUUUACCCGGGAUGAUAAUGACAGUACCGGGAGAAUAAGCUCCGGCUAACUCCGUG
Molecule: ribosomal RNA, 433 nt
Filed under: uncultured bacterium
Lineage: Bacteria
Description: partial 16S ribosomal RNA
Rfam family: Bacterial small subunit ribosomal RNA
Source: RNAcentral